This 515-nucleotide ribosomal RNA is filed under the name uncultured bacterium. Its description in RNAcentral is "bacterial SSU rRNA". It matches the Rfam family "Bacterial small subunit ribosomal RNA", at positions 554 to 1070 of the family's 1533-position model. The record is from RNAcentral.
UUGGGCAUAAAGGGCAUCUAGGCGGCCAGAUAAGUCUGGGGUGAAAACUUGCGGCUCAACCGCAAGCCUGCCCUGGAAACUAUGUGGCUAGAGUACUGGAGAGGUGGACGGAACUGCACGAGUAGAGGUGAAAUUCGUAGAUAUGUGCAGGAAUGCCGAUGAUGAAGAUAGUUCACUGGACGGUAACUGACGCUGAAGUGCGAAAGCUAGGGGAGCAAACAGGAUUAGAUACCCUGGUAGUCCUAGCUGUAAACGAUGAUUACUGGGUGUGGGCAUGAAGAGUGUCCGUGCCGAAGCUAAUGCGAUAAGUAAUCCGCCUGGGGAGUACGGCCGCAAGGCUGAAACUCAAAGGAAUUGACGGGGACCCGCACAAGCGGUGGAGCAUGUGGUUUAAUUCGACGCAACGCGAGGAACCUUACCAGAUCUUGACAUCCUGCGUAGGCCUGCGAGAGCAGGCUGUGCCUUAGGGAACGCAGAGACAGGUGGUGCAUGGCUGUCGUCAGCUCGUGUCGUGA